AUGGUCACCAUUCAAGACCAAACAAUUAGUCAGAUUCUGCAAAUCGACAUGGAAUACCACAGAAUCCAGGAACUGAAUUCAUAAUUAAAUAUCAGGUUAACAUCACCGCAAAGCUGAUCCAGAGGGAAAGCGAAGGACAUGCCUUCCUUCAGGAUGAUGUCUUGUUAGAAAAGGCAGUCUACACCAUAGCGGACACCACAGGAAUAAUGGAGCUCACUGUCUGGGGCGAGCAAAACC
Carassius auratus (goldfish) is the source of this 237-nucleotide long non-coding RNA. RefSeq lists it as uncharacterized. The transcript is spliced from 3 exons. The record is from RefSeq and is a predicted model, not a curated record. NCBI's taxonomy places the organism in Eukaryota, Metazoa, Chordata, Actinopteri, Cypriniformes, Cyprinidae.